CCAAGCGUUGUCCGGAUUCAUUGGGCGUAAAGAGCUCGUAGGCGGUUCAGUUAGUCGGGUGUGAAAUCUCCGGGCUCAACCCGGAGGGGCCACCCGAUACUGCUGUGACUCGAGUCCGGUAGGGGAGUGGGGAAUUCCUGGUGUAGCGGUGAAAUGCGCAGAUAUCAGGAGGAACACCGGUGGCGAAGGCGCCACUCUGGGCCGGUACUGACGCUGAGGAGCGAAAGCGUGGGUAGCAAACAGG
Molecule: ribosomal RNA, 244 nt
Filed under: uncultured bacterium
Lineage: Bacteria
Description: partial 16S ribosomal RNA
Rfam family: Bacterial small subunit ribosomal RNA
Source: RNAcentral